Molecule: ribosomal RNA, 709 nt
Filed under: Enterobacteriaceae bacterium HGA0145
Lineage: Bacteria; Pseudomonadati; Pseudomonadota; Gammaproteobacteria; Enterobacterales; Enterobacteriaceae
Description: bacterial SSU rRNA
Rfam family: Bacterial small subunit ribosomal RNA
Source: RNAcentral
GCUUGCUCUCGGGUGACGAGCGGCGGACGGGUGAGUAAUGUCUGGGAAACUGCCUGAUGGAGGGGGAUAACUACUGGAAACGGUAGCUAAUACCGCAUAAUGUCGCAAGACCAAAGUGGGGGACCUUCGGGCCUCAUGCCAUCAGAUGUGCCCAGAUGGGAUUAGCUAGUAGGUGGGGUAACGGCUCACCUAGGCGACGAUCCCUAGCUGGUCUGAGAGGAUGACCAGCCACACUGGAACUGAGACACGGUCCAGACUCCUACGGGAGGCAGCAGUGGGGAAUAUUGCACAAUGGGCGCAAGCCUGAUGCAGCCAUGCCGCGUGUGUGAAGAAGGCCUUCGGGUUGUAAAGCACUUUCAGCGGGGAGGAAGGCGAUAAGGUUAAUAACCUUGUCGAUUGACGUUACCCGCAGAAGAAGCACCGGCUAACUCCGUGCCAGCAGCCGCGGUAAUACGGAGGGUGCAAGCGUUAAUCGGAAUUACUGGGCGUAAAGCGCACGCAGGCGGUCUGUCAAGUCGGAUGUGAAAUCCCCGGGCUCAACCUGGGAACUGCAUUCGAAACUGGCAGGCUAGAGUCUUGUAGAGGGGGGUAGAAUUCCAGGUGUAGCGGUGAAAUGCGUAGAGAUCUGGAGGAAUACCGGUGGCGAAGGCGGCCCCCUGGACAAAGACUGACGCUCAGGUGCGUAAGCGUGGGGAGCAAACAGGAUUAG